RNAcentral lists this unclassified non-coding RNA (395 nucleotides) under soil metagenome. RNAcentral's name for it is "partial contains 5.8S ribosomal RNA, internal transcribed spacer 2, and large subunit ribosomal RNA". The stretch from base 1 to 121 matches the Rfam family "5.8S ribosomal RNA", at positions 35 to 154 of the family's 154-position model. The record is from RNAcentral.
GAUGAAGAACGUAGCGAACGUGCGAAACGUAAUGUGAAUUGCAGAAUUCAGUGAAUCAUCGAAUCUUUGAACGCAUCUUGCGCUCCUUGGUAUUCCGAGGAGCAUGCCUGUUUGAGUGUCGUGAAUACUCUCAACUUCAACCCUUUUUUCGGAAAGGGAGGAAGGUUGGACUUGGGUGUUUGUUGAAGUGCGAGCUACGACUCAUCCUAAAUGCAUUAGCGAUCUGCCUCGAUCACACACAAUGUGAUAAUUAAAACUAAAGCAUUGUUUAAUGAUCAAGUCGAGACUGCUUCUAACUGUCGCAAGACAAUAACGUGCAUACAUUUGUGCAUGUCAUUUGACCUCAAAUCAGGUAGGACUACCCGCUGAACUUAAGCAUAUCAAUAAGCGGAGGA